AGAGAUGCACUGGGUGUAAAGCGCGCAGGCGGUUUUGUAAGACGGAGGUGAAAUCCCCGGGCUCAACCUGGGAACUGCCUUUGUGACUGCAAGGCUGGAGUGCGGCAGAGGGGGAUGGAAUUCCGCGUGUAGCAGUGAAAUGCGUAGAUAUGCGGAGGAACACCGAUGGCGAAGGCAAUCCCCUGGGCCUGCACUGACGCUCAUGCACGAAAGCGUGGGGAGCAAACA
RNAcentral lists this ribosomal RNA (228 nucleotides) under uncultured Alicycliphilus sp. RNAcentral's name for it is "partial 16S ribosomal RNA". It matches the Rfam family "Bacterial small subunit ribosomal RNA", at positions 548 to 774 of the family's 1533-position model. The record is from RNAcentral. Lineage: Bacteria; Pseudomonadati; Pseudomonadota; Betaproteobacteria; Burkholderiales; Comamonadaceae.